This 3493-nucleotide long non-coding RNA is filed under the name Drosophila guanche. Lineage: Eukaryota; Metazoa; Arthropoda; Insecta; Diptera; Drosophilidae. The record is from RNAcentral.
AGAAAACUCUGACGUAUUCACAUCUCCGAAGCCCAAUUUGUUCAAGUACAGAUUGUGGCGAUAUUUUGUUACUGGUACAUGAACCGGUGGCAUACACAUUUAUAUUUCAGCAUACGAUUGUCAUAUUGACAAUCACCAGAACCAAGUGAAUCUACAUCAACAGAUUAAUUUGAUUUGUUCAUUGGUUCAUUGGUGUUCAUUGUUUAAUGUUUAAUUAGUCAACAAAAAUUAUUCAUUUAAAGGAAAGGCAAUGAAAAUAAACCCAACAAUGUAAAAAACUUUAAUCUUUUGCUUUUCCUAGAUGCCAUCAACUUGACCGAUGGAACUGGGUAAAGACCAACUCCGAAAAGCCUUGCAGCAAAAGAAGCACCGCUUUAAAAACUCCAGCUCUCCGUACGUGUCACAACUUUUAUACACGGCACUCAGUUCUAAAUCUGCACCUUAGCGGUGUUUUGUCAAAUUUUACAUUUUUUCUUCAUCUGUCAUCUACAUCUACAACACUUCUCACACCAACACUCUCCUUUGGCUCUCCCCCCUUCCCGAGGCCCAAACACUGCAGACUCGCGGCAGAGGCAGAGGCCGCUGACUACACGAAUCUGAGUGUAAAUAAGAGAAUGUGAAAAAAAACAACAAAAGCUGCAGGACAGGGUGGGCUUAAAUUGUAAAUUGAUUUAUUCAUUAUGUCUAUAAUAAUGAUAUGGUCAAUGGUGGUUUUUGUUUUCGUUUAUCUUCAAAAUUUUAGGUUUGGGAGGUUUUCUACACUUGUAACAGUGUGAGCAUACAGAAGUCUGGAUAAAAAAUUUGGUGGCUCUAGCUCUUAUAGGACGGACAGACGGACGGACAGACAGACAUGGCUCAAUCGAAUAUAUAUACUUUAUGGGGUCGGAAACGUUUCCUUCAGUGCGUUACAUACUUUGUGCACAAAUACAAUAUCCCCUAUUUACUCUUCGAGUACCGGGUAUAAAAAUAACAAAUAAUAAACUUCAAAUAAGGUGAAAAUUCGUUUAUGCUGGGUAAUUAUAUCAACAUGGGUAAAAAAGAUAGGGAUCAAUAACACUUACCAACGCUCAGCUGCAGAAGACGAUAUGUUUGACGAACUUGUUAAGUUCUCAAAAGCACAAGCGUUUUUUUAGCGGACAUCAAAGUUUUCUGGCUACUUCUAGCUAUUUUCAAAGGCUAGUUUACCUAUGAUAGGAAUACCGGAAUGUAUGACAGCGCUGGAGUUUUAAAUUUCACCUUAUUCCCAGUAUGUAUUACGAUUAAAUUUUGGUUUUACAUUAGUUCAAAUUAUUUAGAGCUUAUUUUGAUACUUUUGUUUUACAUUUGCCUUCUAUUAAAAUUGACUGUAAAAUACCUAAAACUGAUAUAAAACGCCAAGAAAUGUACUAAAUAUACCAUAUAUCCCUUACACCAAUUAAAUUUUUUUUGUUUCAACAAUUCUUAUCAAGCCUACUGAUUAACAUCAUGCCAAUUUUAAAGAUAUAUCAUGAAAAGCAAACAAAGCAAUUGUGUGCCCUCCACGCUCUCAACAAUAUAUUCCAAGGUAAGUUACAUUUCACUGAAAUGCUUUUGAAUACCAUUCUGAUAAACUGACAUGAAUAUAUGCAUGUUAAUAUACAUAUGUAUGUAUGUAUAAAAUAACUGUAUUGCCAGAACAUAUUUACAGAAAGGAAGAGCUGGACAAUAUAUGCAUUAACUUAAGUCCCAACGUAUGGAUAAAUCCUCAUCGAUCCCUUCUUGGACUCGGAAAUUAUGAUAUUAAUGUUAUUAUGACCGCCUUAGAGCUAAGAAAUUGUGAGGCCUUUUGGUUUGAUAAACGAAAAGACCCGUCUGGCAUUGACUUAGAUUCAAUUGUGGGUUUUAUACUCAACAUUCCAUCAGAUUACAAGAUCGGCACAAUAACAUUGCCAUUACGAAAAAGACACUGGAUAGCAGUGCGUCGUAUAGGGCAGCACUACUAUAAUCUUGAUUCCAAACUUCCACAGCCUGAGUUAUUGGGAACUGAUUCCGAUGUGCUCCAGUUUUUGCGAGAACAGCUUGAGGAAAAGGAACAGCAGCGUGAACUUUUUCUUGUAAGUUAUCGUAACGACUGUACUGGACCAUCACAGCGAUGCAUGGAAGAGUCGCACGACAUAAAUAAAACAACACGUUCAACAUGAUGUUUAACAAAAAUUUCAUAAAAACAUGAAUGAAAUGGAGGUAAAAUGAAUUUGUUUAAGGUAAAAAACAUCUCAGCUAGGGGUUUCUAAGCAGAAAAAGUUAAAGAGCCACAUUAUUCUUUAUAUGGGUUAACGAUCUGUUAUACAUUAUGAAAACAGGUAAUAAACUAUCUCAAACCACGUUUGAAACGUUUUUUUAAAUUUAUUUCGAGUUUUCUUAAAAUAGUGGUAGUACAAUUUGAAAUAAUAUGCAUUAAUGGACGGAUAUGUUUCAAUUAACAGUGAUUACACUUGGAUACACUCUAAUUGAAGGAAUGAAUCGUGAUAAAAUUAUUAAUCGAGACGUUACUAAAAUAUGUAUGUAGAUAUGUUUAGAUUGGGUGACUUCAACAGUUAUAUAUCUGUUUGAAUUCCUCCAUGUGGCGGAAUGUUAGGCUUACGUCCUGACUGAGGACGACGCGGACGGCUUGGUUCUGGUACAAAGUAAGAUUGGGACGGUGAUGGAGCAGUCGGGGUAGUUUCGACAUUUGCCUGGUGCUGAUAGCAGUCGUCUCCGUAUUCGCUAACUUCCCGAUUACUUAUUUCGUUGAGGCGCUUGUAGCGUUCGCGACGGGCUUCAACCAUGUAAAGUAUUCCUCCAGGUAACAACAAUACAGCUCCAACCACGCCCAACGCAAACGACCAGCCCAUGUCAUUAUUCUGCCAUCCAGGCAUCCAGUCCCGAGAGUCUCCCUUGGCACCGAAAAUUACUACUGCAAUAAAUCCAAAAAUCGAGCCCAACACUUGGCAAGUCCCAAUGGUCAGUAGCAGCACAACGUAUCGAUCAUCGUCGCGAGAGGUCAUCAAGAAGGCCAGUGUAAGAGGCAGGCCAAUAAGGCACAUGACGAAGCAAAGCGUUGCAAAUAGCUGCACUGCUACAUAGAACCCCGGUAGUAGAAAAUCGUGUAUGAUGUAGUAUUCCUCUUCAAAGACCCACAUGCAUCCGUUGAAAGGGUUGUCGUAGAAACGGUGAAUGUCCUGAAAAUCAUUGAAGCACACUUCCCAUAAACCCAGAUUGGUAAAGCGUGGCUUUUCUAAACGCCCAUCUGUAACCAACCAAUAGGGUGUUGAAAACGCAAUGAUAAAAAGCAGAAAUGAAAUCCCGGAAACGCAAAGAGCCACUUGCGUACUGCGGUUCGACGCCCCCAUUUUCGAUCGCGGGAUAGUUUCCGUUUGACUAUACAACCGAAAAAAAAACACCCAAGCCUUUGCGUCAUAAACACAACACACGCCCUGUAGUGUAACCGUCUAACAAAAAAAUACCGCUUUUUAAAAUAAAAUACGUAUGAAUUAAA